AGCUCCAAAAGUGUAUAUUUAAGUUGUUGCGGUUAAAAAGCUCGUAGUUGGAUUUUGGGCGCAGGCGGCCGGUCCGUCGCAAGGCGUGCACUGGCUGCACCUGGCCCUCAACCCCGGCGCUCCGCCGGUGCUCUUGACUGAGUGUCGGCGGCGGCCGGGACGUUUACUUUGAAAAAAUUAGAGUGUUCAAAGCAGGCGGCUCGCCUGAAUAAUGGUGCAUGGAAUAAUGGAAUAGGACCUCGGUUCUAUUUUGUUGGUUUUCGGAGCGCGAGGUAAUGAUUAAGAGGGACGGACGGGGGCAUUCGUACUGUGCCGUUAGAGGUGAAAUUCUUGGAUCGGCGCAAGACGAACGACUGCGAAAGCAUUUGCCAAGAAUGUUUUCUUUAAUCAAGAACGAAAG
This 400-nucleotide ribosomal RNA is filed under the name phytoplankton environmental sample. RNAcentral's name for it is "partial small subunit ribosomal RNA". It matches the Rfam family "Eukaryotic small subunit ribosomal RNA", at positions 587 to 989 of the family's 1831-position model. The record is from RNAcentral.